RNAcentral lists this ribosomal RNA (423 nucleotides) under uncultured Porphyromonadaceae bacterium. RNAcentral's name for it is "bacterial SSU rRNA". It matches the Rfam family "Bacterial small subunit ribosomal RNA", at positions 355 to 776 of the family's 1533-position model. Lineage: Bacteria; Pseudomonadati; Bacteroidota; Bacteroidia; Bacteroidales; Porphyromonadaceae. The record is from RNAcentral.
UGAGGAAUAUUGGUCAAUGGGCGCAGGCCUGAACCAGCCAAGUCGCGUGAGGGAGGACGGUCCUACGGAUUGUAAACCUCUUUUGUCGGGGAGUAACGUGCGGGACGCGUCCCGUAUUGAGAGUACCCGAAGAAAAAGCAUCGGCUAACUCCGUGCCAGCAGCCGCGGUAAUACGGAGGAUGCGAGCGUUAUCCGGAUUUAUUGGGUUUAAAGGGUGCGCAGGCGGCGCGCCAAGUCAGCGGUCAAAGUUCCGGGCUCAACCCGGUGUCGCCGUUGAAACUGGCGUGCUCGAGUGCGUGCGAGGAAGGCGGAAUGCGUUGUGUAGCGGUGAAAUGCAUAGAUAUGACGCAGAACUCCGAUUGCGAAGGCAGCUUUCCAGCGCGCUACUGACGCUGAGGCACGAAAGCGUGGGGAUCGAACAGG